CAACUUUCAACAACGGAUCUCUUGGUUCUGGCAUCGAUGAAGAACGCAGCGAAAUGCGAUAAGUAGUGUGAAUUGCAGAAUUCAGUGAAUCAUCGAAUCUUUGAACGCACAUUGCGCCCCUUGGUAUUCCAUGGGGCAUGCCUGUUCGAGCGUCAUUUGUA
RNAcentral lists this ribosomal RNA (161 nucleotides) under Plenodomus wasabiae. Its description in RNAcentral is "5.8S ribosomal RNA". It matches the Rfam family "5.8S ribosomal RNA". From Rfam's summary of the family: 5.8S ribosomal RNA (5.8S rRNA) is a component of the large subunit of the eukaryotic ribosome. Lineage: Eukaryota; Fungi; Ascomycota; Dothideomycetes; Pleosporales; Leptosphaeriaceae. RNAcentral also lists the same sequence under 1 other name. The record is from RNAcentral.